This 853-nucleotide small RNA is filed under the name Pan troglodytes (chimpanzee). Its description in RNAcentral is "retained intron". Lineage: Eukaryota; Metazoa; Chordata; Mammalia; Primates; Hominidae. The record is from RNAcentral.
UGCUCCAGAAGAUCACAAUCCGGAUCCAUGGAGACAUCAGCAGCUUCUGGAUCAAGAACCCUGCAGGGGUCUCCCAGGGCCAGGAGGAAGGCGUGGGUCCUCUAGGUCACACUCGCCGCUUUGGGCAGUUCUGGAUGGUGACCAUGGAUGACCCUCCACAGACAGGAACCUGGGAGAUCCAGGUCACAGCUGAGGACACCCCUGGGGUGAGAGUGCAAGCCCAGACCUCCCUGGACUUCCUCUUCCACUUUGGGAUCCCCAUGGAGGAUGGACCCCACCCUGGCCUCUACCCCCUGACUCAGCCAGUUGCAGGUCUUCAGACCCAGCUGCUGGUAGAAGUGACAGGGUUGGGUUCCAGAGCCAAUCCUGGGGAUCCUCAGCCGCAUUUCUCCCACGUCAUCCUUCGAGGGGUCCCAGAGGGUGCCGAACUAGGCCAGGUGCCCUUGGAGCCCGUGGGACCUCCGGAGCGAGGUCUCCUCACAGCCUCGCUGUUGCCCACGCUGCUGUCCACCCCUAGACCCUUCUCCCUGGAGCUGAUUGGCCAGGACACAGCGGGGCGGCGCCUGCACAGGGCUGCCCCUCAGCCUAGCACUGUAGUCCCUGUCCUUCUGGAGGUGAGACGCUAGGGGCAAGUGCGGCUGGGGCUGGAGAGAGUUAGAGCGGCCCCUUCCCUGACGAACACUUCUCUGCAGCUUAGUGGCCCCUCGGGUUUCUUGGCCCCGGGCAGCAAAGUCCCACUCAGUCUCCGCAUCGCCAGCUUCUCGGGCCCUCAGGAUCUUAACCUUAGGACUUUCGUCAACCCCAGCUUCUCCCUCACCUCCAACCUCUCCAGGGCUCACCUGGAACUGAAUGA